This 919-nucleotide ribosomal RNA is filed under the name uncultured beta proteobacterium. Its description in RNAcentral is "bacterial SSU rRNA". It matches the Rfam family "Bacterial small subunit ribosomal RNA", at positions 1 to 916 of the family's 1533-position model. Lineage: Bacteria; Pseudomonadati; Pseudomonadota; Betaproteobacteria. The record is from RNAcentral.
CGACGAUACGUUGAUCUCAGCUGAGAUUGACGUUGGGGCCGUGCUCUACAGAUGCUAGAUUAUCAGCAGCACGUAGAGAGUCCUUUCUGGUGGGGAGCGGCGACUAGGUGAGUAUCGCUUCGAGACGGGACUAGUAGGGGGUGUUAUCUGUCUGAAAGGACGGGUAAUAGCGCAUCAGCCUCGAGGUGGAUAGAGAGGGAUGCUUUGACCACGGGUAUUUGAGCAGAUCUAUAUGCAUUAGCUAGUACGUGGGGAAUGGCCUAUCAAGGCGAAUAUUCAUAGAUAGCCAGAGAGAAUGAUCUUCCACAGUGGAACUGAGACACGUCCCACACUCCUAAGUGAUGCAGCAGCGUGGAAUUUAGGACAAGUCAGUGAACCUUGAUCUAGCCACGUCGCGAGUAUGAAGAAGGCUUUCGGGUAGUAAACGACUGUUUUUAGGGAAGAAAAGCUGAGUGGCAAUCACAUUUGAUGCAGACAGUUUCUUCAGAAUAGGCACUGGUUAACAACGUGCCGGCAUUCUUCGGUCAUACGUAGGGUGCGAGUCAUAAUUGGAAUUCAUGGGCAAAAGCGAGCGCAGACGGUUAGAUAAGUCUGAGGUGAAAUCCUCGAGUUCAACGUGGGACGUCCUCUUGUCAGACCAUAAAGAGAUUGUGUCAGAGGGAGGUAGAAUUCCCACCGUAGCAGUGAUCCCAUAGAGAUCAUCGGAAUACGCGAUUCCUUUGGCAGCCGUAUGGGAUUACAUCAACGUUCAUGGUUGAAAGCGGUGGUAGCAAACAGGAGUCCCCACCCAGGUAGUACAUCCCCUAAACGAUGACAAUUGUCCGCCGGUCCUCAAGAAGUGCAAGCAGUGAAGCUACCGCGAGAAAUGGUCCGGUUGGGGAGUACGGUAGCAAGCAAUAAAACUCAAAGGAAUUGACGG